This 253-nucleotide ribosomal RNA is filed under the name uncultured bacterium. Its description in RNAcentral is "partial 16S ribosomal RNA". It matches the Rfam family "Bacterial small subunit ribosomal RNA", at positions 524 to 776 of the family's 1533-position model. The record is from RNAcentral.
UACGAAGGGGGCUAGCGUUGCUCGGAAUGACUGGGCGUAAAGGGCGCGUAGGCGGCUUGCACAGUCAGGCGUGAAAUUCCUGGGCUCAACCUGGGGACUGCGCUUGAGACGUGUGGGCUUGAGUGGGGAAGAGGGUCGUGGAAUUCCCAGUGUAGAGGUGAAAUUCGUAGAUAUUGGGAAGAACACCGACGGCGAAGGCAGCGUCCUGGCCGAGCACUGACGCUCAGGCACGAAAGCGCGGGGAGCAAACAGG